Molecule: unclassified non-coding RNA, 403 nt
Filed under: soil metagenome
Description: partial contains 5.8S ribosomal RNA, internal transcribed spacer 2, and large subunit ribosomal RNA
Rfam family: 5.8S ribosomal RNA (bases 1-119)
Source: RNAcentral
GAUGAAACGUAGCGAAAUGCGAUAAGUAAUGUGAAUUGCAGAAUUCAGUGAAUCAUCGAAUCUUUGAACGCACCUUGCGCCCUUUGGACAUUCCGAAGGGCAUGCCUGUUUGAGUAUCAUGAACACCUCAACUCUCACGGCUUGUCCGUGAUGAGCUUGGACUUUGGGGGUCUUGCCGGCCUGUGGUCGGCUCCUCUCAAAUGGAUCAGCUUGCCAGUGUUUGGUGGCAUCACAGGUGUGAUAACUAUCUGCGCUUGUGGUUUUCCAUCAGAUAACCUUCAGUGAUAUGGAGGUUCGCUGGAGCUCACAAAUGUCUCUCCUUAGUGAGGACAGCUCUUUGAACGUUUGAUCUCAAAUCAGGUAGGACUACCCGCUGAACUUAAGCAUAUCAAUAAGCGGAGGA